RNAcentral lists this ribosomal RNA (504 nucleotides) under uncultured bacterium. Its description in RNAcentral is "partial 16S ribosomal RNA". It matches the Rfam family "Bacterial small subunit ribosomal RNA", at positions 29 to 523 of the family's 1533-position model. The record is from RNAcentral.
AUUGAACGCUGGCGGCAGGCCCAACACAUGCAAGUCGAACGGUAGCACAGAGAGCUUGCUCUCGGGUGACGAGUGGCGGACGGGUGAGUAACGUCUGGGAAACUGCCCGAUGGAGGGGGAUAACUACUGGAAACGGUAGCUAAUACCGCAUAACGUCGCAAGACCAAAGUGGGGGACCUUCGGGCCUCACACCAUCGGAUGUGCCCAGAUGGGAUUAGCUAGUAGGUGGGGUAAUGGCUCACCUAGGAGACGAUCCCUAGCUGGUCUGAGAGGAUGACCAGCCACACGGGAACUGAGACACGGUCCAGACUCCGACGGGAGGCAGCAGUGGGGAAUAUUGCACAAGGGGCGCAAGCCUGAUGCAGCCAUGCCGCGUGUAUGAAGAAGGCCUUCGGGUUGUAAAGUACUUUCAGCGGGGAGGAAGGCGGUGAAGUUAAUAGCUUCACCGAUUGACGUUACCCGCAGAAGAAGCACCGGCUAACUCCGUGCCAGCCGCCGCCGUAA